GUGGGGAAUAUUCCGCAAUGGACGAAAGUCUGACGGAGCAACGCCGCGUGAGUGAUGAAGGUUUUCGGACUGUAAAGCUCUGUUGUUUAGGACGAAAGUGCCUGUUGCAAAUAGUUACAGGUAUUGACGGUACUGAACGAGGAAGCCACGGCUAACUACGUGCCAGCAGCCGCGGUAAUACGUAGGUGGCAAGCGUUGUCCGGAAUUAUUGGGCGUAAAGAGCACGUAGGCGGGAAUCUAAGUCUGUUGUGAAAAUGCGGGGCUCAACCCCGUAUUGCGAUGGAAACUGGGUUUCUUGAGUGCAGGAGAGGAAAGGGGAAUUCCCAGUGUAGCGGUGAAAUGCGUAGAUAUUGGGAGGAACACCAGUGGCGAAGGCGCCUUUCUGGACUGUGUCUGACGCUGAGAUGCGAAAGCCAGGGUAGCGAACGGGAUUAGAUACCCUUGUAGUCC
RNAcentral lists this ribosomal RNA (450 nucleotides) under uncultured bacterium. RNAcentral describes it as "partial 16S ribosomal RNA". It matches the Rfam family "Bacterial small subunit ribosomal RNA", at positions 354 to 796 of the family's 1533-position model. The record is from RNAcentral.